RNAcentral lists this ribosomal RNA (902 nucleotides) under Bipolaris sorokiniana. Its description in RNAcentral is "SSU rRNA". It matches the Rfam family "Eukaryotic small subunit ribosomal RNA", at positions 196 to 1104 of the family's 1831-position model. The record is from RNAcentral. Lineage: Eukaryota; Fungi; Ascomycota; Dothideomycetes; Pleosporales; Pleosporaceae.
AAGGGAUGUGUUUAUUAGAUAAAAAACCAAUGCCCUUCGGGGCUUUUUGGUGAUUCAUGAUAACUUUACGGAUCGCAUAGCCUUGCGCUGGCGACGGUUCAUUCAAAUUUCUGCCCUAUCAACUUUCGAUGGUAAGGUAUUGGCUUACCAUGGUUUCAACGGGUAACGGGGAAUUAGGGUUCGAUUCCGGAGAGGGAGCCUGAGAAACGGCUACCACAUCCAAGGAAGGCAGCAGGCGCGCAAAUUACCCAAUCCCGACACGGGGAGGUAGUGACAAUAAAUACUGAUACAGGGCUCUUUUGGGUCUUGUAAUUGGAAUGAGUACAAUUUAAACCUCUUAACGAGGAACAAUUGGAGGGCAAGUCUGGUGCCAGCAGCCGCGGUAAUUCCAGCUCCAAUAGCGUAUAUUAAAGUUGUUGCAGUUAAAAAGCUCGUAGUUGAAACUUGGGUCUGGCUGGCGGGUCCGCCUCACCGCGUGCACUCGUCCGGCCGGGCCUUCCUUCUGAAGAACCUCAUGCCCUUUACUGGGCGUGUUGGGGAAUCAGGACUUUUACUUUGAAAAAAUUAGAGUGUUCAAAGCAGGCCUUUGCUCGAAUACGUUAGCAUGGAAUAAUAAAAUAGGGCGUGCGUUUCUAUUUUGUUGGUUUCUAGAGACGCCGCAAUGAUUAACAGGAACAGUCGGGGGCAUCAGUAUUCAGUUGUCAGAGGUGAAAUUCUUGGAUUUACUGAAGACUAACUACUGCGAAAGCAUUUGCCAAGGAUGUUUUCAUUAAUCAGUGAACGAAAGUUAGGGGAUCGAAGACGAUCAGAUACCGUCGUAGUCUUAACCGUAAACUAUGCCGACUAGGGAUCGGGCGAUGUUCUUUUUCUGACUCGCUCGGCACCUUACGAGAAAUCAAAGU